RNAcentral lists this ribosomal RNA (369 nucleotides) under uncultured organism. RNAcentral describes it as "bacterial SSU rRNA". It matches the Rfam family "Bacterial small subunit ribosomal RNA", at positions 526 to 896 of the family's 1533-position model. The record is from RNAcentral.
CGUAGGCAGCAAGCGUUGUUCGGAAUUACUGGGCGUAAAGGGUGCGUAGGCGGCUUUUUAAGUUUGGUGUGAAAUCUCCCGGCUCAACUGGGAGGUGCGCCGAAUACUGAGAAGCUAGAGUGUGGGAGAGGAAAGUGGAAUUCCUGGUGUAGCGGUGAAAUGCGUAGAUAUCAGGAGGAACACCGGUGGUGUAAACGGCUUUCUGGACCAUAACUGACGCUGAUGCACGAAAGCGUGGGUAGCAAACAGGAUUAGAUACCCUGGUAGUCCACGCCCUAAACGAUGCAUAUUUGGUGUGGGCCAUUCAUUUGGUCCGUGCCGGAGCUAACGCGUUAAAUAUGCCGCCUGGGGAGUACAGUCGCAAGGCUG